UACGUAGGGUGCAAGCGUUGUCCGGAAUUAUUGGGCGUAAAGAGCUCGUAGGCGGUCUGUCGCGUCUGCUGUGAAAACUCAGGGCUUAACCCUGAGCUUGCAGUGGGUACGGGCAGACUAGAGUGCGGUAGGGGAGACUGGAAUUCCUGGUGUAGCGGUGAAAUGCGCAGAUAUCAGGAGGGAACACCGGUGGGCCGAAGGCGGGUCUCUGGGCCGACACUGACGGCUGAGGAAGCGGAAAGCCAGGGGAGCAAACGGG
Molecule: ribosomal RNA, 259 nt
Filed under: uncultured bacterium
Lineage: Bacteria
Description: partial 16S ribosomal RNA
Rfam family: Bacterial small subunit ribosomal RNA
Source: RNAcentral